Long non-coding RNA from Salmo salar (Atlantic salmon), 363 nucleotides. RefSeq lists it as uncharacterized. The record is from RefSeq and is a predicted model, not a curated record. Lineage: Eukaryota; Metazoa; Chordata; Actinopteri; Salmoniformes; Salmonidae.
GAGGAGGGGGGCCCUGCCUCUAAAAUGCAUCUCUCUGGGGGACAUGACACCAAAGCUAAGAGACCAAUCAAGCAGGAGAGACCAGCCUCCCCUGUACCCAGCUGUGUGUCCAUGAAGAGUGACUGGUCUAUGGGUCAACCUGAAGAGUUUAGAGAGGGGAGACUUUUCUACUGAACAAAGGUAUAAGGUCAACGUAGCAAGUCUGGUGGACAUGGCAGAGCUCCAUACCCGCAGUCAGACCAGCAGAAACUGGAUCAGCAGCACUACAAGACCAAUCAAGCAGGAGAGACCAGCCUCCCCUGUUCCCAGCUGUGUGUCCAUGAAGAGUGACAAGUCUAUGAAUCUACCUAUAGAGUUUAGAGA